Molecule: ribosomal RNA, 407 nt
Filed under: uncultured bacterium
Lineage: Bacteria
Description: bacterial SSU rRNA
Rfam family: Bacterial small subunit ribosomal RNA
Source: RNAcentral
AUUAGGAAUCUUGCACAAUGGGCGAAAGCCUGAUGCAGCGACGUCGCGUGGAGGAUGAAAUCUUUCGGGAUGUAAACUCCUUUUAUCGGGGAAGAAGAAUGUGACGGUACCCGAUGAAUAAGCCCCGGCUAACUACGUGCCAGCAGCCGCGGUAAUACGUAGGGGGCCAGCGUUGUCCGAAGUUACUGGGCGUAAAGAGCGCGUAGGCGGAUCUUUAAGUGAGGGGUGAAAGGUUCGGGCUCAACCCGGACACUGCCUUUCAUACUGGGGAUCUUGAGUGCGGGAGGGGCGAGUGGAAUGGUCGGUGUAGCGGUGAAAUGCGUAGAUAUCGAUCGGAACACCCAUGGCGAAGGCAGCUCGCUGGUCCGCAACUGACGCUGAGGCGCGAAAGCUGGGGGAGCAAACAG